UUUUUUUUUUUUUUUUUUUUUUUUUUUAACAGCUAAACCUGUGGCAUAUGCAAGUCCCCAGGGUUGGGGUUGAAACUGAGCUGCAGUGGCAGCCUAUGCCACAGCCACAGCAACACCAGAUCUGAGUCGCAUCUGCAAACUAUGCUGCAGCUUGCAGCAAUGCCAGAUGCUUAACCCACUGAGUGAGGCCAGGGAUGGAACCCACAUCCUUCCAGAGAUGUCGGGUCCUUAACCUGCUGAGCCACCAUGGGAACUUUGAGAUAGGCAUUUUAUUUAUUUAUUUUUUAUAUAAUGAUUUUUAUGUUUUUCCAUUAUAGCUGGUUUACAGUGUUCUGUCAAUUUCCCACUGUACAGCAAUGGUGACCCAGUUACACAUACAAGUAUACAUUCUUUUUUCUCACAUUAUCAUGCUCCAUCAUAAGUGACUAGACAUAGUUCCCAGUGCUACACAGCUGAAUCUCACUGCUAAUCCAUUCCAAAGGCAAGAGUCUGUAUCUAUUAACCCCUUCCCGCUCCCUCCCCCUUCCCCUUGGCAACCACGAGUCUCUUCUCCAAAUCCAUGAUUUUCUUUUCUGCGGAAAGGUUCAUUUGUGCCACAUAUAAGAUUCCAGAUAUAAGUAAUACAUGGUGUUUGUCUUUGAGACAGACAUUUAAAAAAGAUCAUCCCCAUUCUAUAGAUGAGAAGACUGUAGCACAAAGGGAUUAAAGUAGUUUGCUCUGAGCUUCAUAGUGAGAAUUUGAGCCCAAGAAGUCUGGGAGGGAGGAGGACAAUUAGGAUAGUGGGCCUCUGCCCAUGGAGAGACUGGUCAUGAGCUGAUGUGGCAUAAACCUGAGAGGGAAAACCUCCUUAAAUUUGUGCCCUUGGCUCCUCUCUUGCCUUACUCUUGUUCCAGCCCUGUGACUAGGGCAUGGCUGUCCAGAGAGAACCACAUGACUUGGGGCCAGGAAAGGUUGCCAGAGCCCAGAUGAAGGGUCUUAAAACCCAGGAGCUACGAACAACAUGUUGUACCUCCCCAGCAUUCACAUGUUGAAGUCCAAUCCCAGAUGUGAUGACCUCAGGAGGUGGAACCUUUGGGAGAUGAUGAGGUCAUGAGGGUGGCACCCUCAUGAAUGGGAUUUGUGUCCUUCUACAAGACAGCUCAGAGAACUCCCUUUCCGCUCUGUGAGGAUACAGCGAGAAGACGGCUGUCUGCAAACCAGAAAGCGGACUCUCACCAGACAUCAAAUCUGCAGGUGCCUUGAUCCUUGACUUCCUAGCCUCCAGAAACAUAAGAAGUAAAUUUCUGUCAUUUACAAGGCACCUGGUCUAUGGUGUUUUUGUUAUCAUGGCCCAAGUGGACUAAGACAUCAGACUAAAAGCAAUGAUGGUCUAGUAGGUGUUUUUAAGCAGAAGCGUGGCAUGAUUCAAGGACCCAUGAAAGCUCACCCCAGCAGCAGAAUGGAAGCUGUAUGGAAGGAAUGAGACUGAGAUGAGAAAACAGGUAAAGGGUUAGGAGUCCAGAUAAGAGCAUGAGAGCAGGGACAGCUUAGGGGGGAGGAGAGAACAAAGGUGGAAGGGGGUUCAAAGAUGUUAAUAAAAAAUAAUCACUAGCAGGGGUUGAGUAAUUUCUGUGAGAAAGGCUUUGGGCUUGGAGCUUUCCAUGUGUGUUCUCUUUUAAUCCUCAGAUCAACCAUAUUUAGUUGGUACUCCUGUCGCCGUUUUAUUUUUGUCUUUUUUUUUUUUUUGGUUGUGCUCACAGCAUAUGGAGAUUCUCAGGCUAGGGGUUGAAUCAGAGCUGUAGCUGCUGGCAGCCACAGCAACUCGAGAUCCAAGCCACAUCUGUGACCUACACCACAGCUCACGGCAACACCAGAUCCUUAACUCACUGAGCAAGGCCAGGGAUCAAACCUGCGUCCUCAUGGAUGCUAGCGAGAUUUGUUUCUGCUGAGCCACAAUGGGAACUCCUUGUCCCCAUUUGAGAUGAGGGAGCUGAGGGUUUAGUGAGGGAAAUGUCACUGGAAGGACCUUCUUCGAAGUUGUGAACAUAGGUAGACACAGUCCUGUGAUGCACAAAAUCCAAGCGAAGUAUCAUUUAAGGACAGUAAUUGAGUACAGUAAAAAUCUAAAAUCGUGUGAAUUUUGAUAUAAUGCAGUUGGCAGAUGGGGUCUUGUAUUCAUCCAGCUCAUAUUCUCACGCAGAGUGGGUUCGUAUUCUCAGUGGGCCAUGGACAGGAUGCAAGUUGAUCUCAGAAUCUCCAGUUUCUCAGUGUCCUUGACCAGGUCAGCAAAGAGUGCAAAUUACUGGAAAAAUGUCUGGAGUCCCUGGAUCCCUGGGAAUCUGGCCCUGGGAAUCUGGCCCUGGGAAUCUGGCCCUGCUCAUCUACUGGGCAUUGCCCCCCAAAUAGCAUCAAACCCUAGACUUGGAUAUGGAUCCUGCAGUCACAGUCCCAAAUUUAAUGGCAUAGAUUCAUCAUGAGGCCCUAACCAGCGCUUCAUUAACUUUGCAAUUAAGAUGACCCUGCAUUUUACACACCUGCAUUUUUGUACUUUACUUUUGAUAUUAUAUGGGGUUUCAACAUGCAUGUACUCCUAAAGAUCCAGAGGAAUAUGGAAAGAAUAUAGAAUUUUGACAAGUUCAAAGCUCUUUACACCUACAUGGAAAGAGAGUUAAAUAAGAGCAAAAAGAAAUGCAAAGGAAAAUUCAAGGGCUUCAGGAAGGGGAAGAAUUAGGUAAUGUUACAGUGUGCAAGCUGAAUCCAGGAGACAUGGAUUUGAAUCUAAGAGGCCAGACUUUUAAAAGGCAUCAGCAAAGCAAGUAAAGGGACUGUCUCAGUGCCAUCUGGUCAUUAAGCAACUGUCCUUUACUGAGAAGAUGCCCCAGGGAAUAGCUGGGUUGAGAUGACAUAAUUGUUUCCUAUGUAGUUAUGAAUCUUUUUUUCUUUCUUUCUUUCUUUUUUUUUUUUUUGCCAUUUCUUGGGCCACUCCCAUGGCCUAUGGAUGUUCCUAGACUAGGGGUCUAAUUGGAGCUGUAGCUGCCACCCUACGCCAGAGCCACAGCAACACGGGAUCCGAGCCACGUCUGCGAUCUACACCACAGCUCACGGCAACACUGGACUGUUAACCCACUGAGCAAGGGCAGGGAUCGAACCCGAAACCUCAUGGUUCCUAGUUGGAUUCGUUAACCACUGCGCCACCACGGGAACUCCUGUAGUUAUGAAUCUUUUAAUCCCGGAAAGAUAAGGAAUUCAGAAUAGACAUGCUCAAGACAUCAGCGAAGGGAACUCCUGCCAUGGCUCAGUAGAUUAACGAUCCAGCUUGUCUCUGUAGCAUUGCUGGUUCACUGACGUGGGUUGGGGAUCCUGUGUUGCUGCAGCUGUGGCAUAGGUCACAGAUGCAGCUUGGGUUUGAUCCCUGGCCUGGGAACUUACAUAUGCCAAGGGUGCAGCCAAAAAAAAAAAAAAAAAAAAAAAAAAAAAAAGGAGAGAUUGGUUAAGACUUUCUGUUUAAGUAUGUGUACUGUUUGAGCAAUUUGGCUUAUUAAAAUAAUAGCUAACUUUGUGGUUCUGAUUUGAAUGUAAUUGAAUAAUUCAUUUAUACUUAGUAUUUCAGUUGGAAACUUUUAUGGGGUAUUGAAUAUUUUAAUAUAAUAUAAGAAUUAUCAUACUUAUAAGUUUAAUGUAUUAGGUUUAUAAGCCUUCUUUAAAUAUUUGGGAAGGCUUAUUUGUUGGUUAAAAUACUUUAAAAGGGGAGUUCCCAUCGUGGCGCAGUGGAAACAAAUCCCACUAGGAACCAUGAGGUUUUGGGUUAGAUCCCUGGCCUUGCUCAGUGGGUUAAGGAUCAGGCGUUGCUGAGAGCUGUGGUGUAGGUCACAGACACAGCUCAGAUCUGGCAUGGCUCUGAUUAGACUCCUAGCCUGGGAACUUUCGUGUGUAGCGAGUGUGGCCCUAAAAAACAGUAUAUAUAAAAAAAAAAACUUUAAAAGGAAAUUCAAUAAAUAUAUUACAUUCAAUACUGAGGUUUGAAGUCCUUAAGGGCAUUAAUUUAUACAUUUGUAAAAUGAGUCAAAUAUUAUCAAUAUCUCCUAAAAGUUGAUAAAAGUUUUCUGAUUCAUAAAUAGAACAAUAUGAUUUGUAAGCUGAAUUGGUCUUAAGGCUGAUUGAGGUUUUUAAUUUUUUUUUUUUUAGUAUUGAAUAUGAGUUCUGAAGAGCCAUAUAGCCUAUGAAGUUAUUUUUUUUAUGCACUAACGCUACCCUCAGGGAAAUACAUGAUAAUGGAGGAGUCUUACUGGCUGGAAGGUAGUCUGCUAAAUUCACAGGGCUAGCAAGCAGCAGAGGCAGGAUUCAGAUCAGAAAGCCUGAUACCCACCCCACUGCACCCAAUCCUGAUAAAAAAACCAUCCGCAUCCCUUUGUUUCUCUAUAGACAUGAUUUUCUUUCCCAGUGGCCUACGAGCAACAUGCUUGCCAGGCUUCCUUUCAUCUUUAAACCCCCCAGUCCCAGCUUGGUGCCCUUGAGGAUCUCAGCAGGAGCCCGUGUGUGUGUGUGUGUGUGUGUGUGUGUGUGUGUGUGUGUGUUUAAUAAAUGAGUGAGGAGAACGCAGUGAGAGUAGCACCUUGGAGCUUCUCCAAGAGAGGGUUUCAAAUGUCAACCUCCACCAAGUUCCAAUGUCAAAUUCCACCAAGUUGGAGCUCCCAUCAUGGCUCAACAGAAACGAAUCUGACUAGCAUCCAUGAGGAUACAGGUUUGAUCCCUGGCCUCACUCUGUGGGUUAAGGAUCCGGCAUUGCUGUGAGCUGUGGUGUAGGUCGCAGAUGUGGCUCUGAUUCCGCAUUGCUUGUGGCUGUGGUGUAGGCCAGCGGCUAUGGCUCCAGUUUGAGCCUGGGAACCUCCAUAUGCCAUGAGUGUGGCCCUA
This 4890-nucleotide long non-coding RNA is filed under the name Sus scrofa (pig). RNAcentral describes it as "lncRNA (ENSSSCG00000060409.1)". Lineage: Eukaryota; Metazoa; Chordata; Mammalia; Artiodactyla; Suidae. The record is from RNAcentral.